RNAcentral lists this ribosomal RNA (451 nucleotides) under uncultured bacterium. RNAcentral's name for it is "partial 16S ribosomal RNA". It matches the Rfam family "Bacterial small subunit ribosomal RNA", at positions 28 to 523 of the family's 1533-position model. The record is from RNAcentral.
GAUGAAUGCUGGCGGCAGGCUUAACACAUGCAAGUCGAACGGGUGUAGCAAUACAUCAGUGGCAGACGGGUGAGUAACACGUGGGAACCUUCCUAGGGGUACGGAACAACUCAGGGAAACUUGAGCUAAUACCGUAUACGUCCGUGAGGAGAAAGAUUUAUCGCCCUUAGACGGGCCCGCGUCGGAUUAGCUAGUUGGUGGGGUAACGGCCUACCAAGGCGACGAUCCGUAGCUGAUCUUAGAGGAUGAUCAGCCACACUGGGACUGAGACACGGCCCAGACUCCUACGGGAGGCAGCAGUGGGGAAUCUUGGACAAUGGGCGCAAGCCUGAUCCAGCCAUGCCGCGUGAGUGAAGAAGGUCUUCGGAUUGUAAAGCUCUUUUGCCAGGGACGAUAAUGACGGUACCUGGAGAAUAAGCCCCGGCAAACUUCGUGCCAGCCGCCGCCGUAA